UGAUAAGUAAAAUUUGGUUAAAAUAGUUUGACAUAUGUAUGUUUGUCGAUUUUAAAUCAAGAUAGUUUGGGGUGACUUAAUUUAUGUAUUCGAAAUUUAUUUGAGUAGUUAUUAUGGGCACUAAGACGUUAAACUCAUGAAAUUAGAGGAAUAAGAGCUUGAUAGAUUUUAAAAGAGCACUAACCGAAAAUGAACUUAGCUAAUAAAAUUUGGAAAUGUGAAUUGCCGAAAUUGAUCUUAUAAUGUGUAGAAGGCCCAAAUUACCCGGCCCAAUUUCAAUUUAAACCAACCUUAGCCCAACCCAAACCAAAAAAAAAUAAAAAAUCCUAGGUGUGCCGCCCUACUGUCUGCCACCACAACCUACUCCAUAGUUGGUCACUCACCCCCAUUUUGCUCCACUUACCUGCAAUGGAAAAAGCAAAUAAAUAAAAAAGGAACAAGUUGUAAAAAGUGAGAAAAACCUACAAUCUGAAGGUAAUGUGGGGGGGGGGGGGGGUAUCAAUAAAAAAUACAAAAACAAUAUGGGGGAUUCAAGUAAAAAUUUGUAACUUUCCGAAUACAAAGAAAAUAGAGAAAACACUCAAAGAUUGGAGGUGAUUUACGAUUCAUAUUUUUCUUUUUUCUUUUUUCUUGCUUUGAAGGUACUUUAUCAUUAAAACAAAUAAAGAAGAGAUUCCAAAGACACUUACCUACGGUUUCAAUCGUCGGAGGCCAUCCUCCGGCUUGGAUAUCGGACCAAAAGGGGGUAAAAGGGGUCUCCUCUUGUUUUUACGCGACUUAGGUCAUGAACCGCGGCAGAGGUGGAGGCGUGAACGCCGAUGAUACCCGUGAGCAGCCCAAAAGUGACGGCUAAGGCUUGGUCUUUGAGUUUGGUUGAGAAAAAAAUCAAAAGGUUUGAAAUACAAAAAAAAAUGUAUCAAAAACAAAAAGAAAAAGAAAAUUUAGAAGGUUAAUUUCAAUUUUUUUUUCCUCUAUUAUCUCAAUCUUUCUAUUUAUCUUUGCCUUAUUUUAUUUUUUUCUCAUUAACUUACUUUUAAAAAAAAAGAAUUAAGGAAGAAGAAGAGACUAACCCGAUUUCACGUGGCCCUGACCACCGUCUAUGGUGGAAACCACGGUGGCUUCAAGGAGGCAUGAUGACGGCGCAUGAAUGGGUUUCUUUUGAAACCCUGGCAGAUCUAAAAAUGAAGAAAAUGGGAGGGGAAGGGCUGCUGUUCAUUUCUGGAAAAGAAAGAAAAUGAAAGAUUCAUUUUUUAAAAAAAAAAUUGGCCCUUUCAUACAUUAACUAACUAAAGCAACGCCGUUUGGGUAAAGGGAAAUGGUCCAUGUGCCUAAAAUGGAUAAUUUGUGUGGCUAAUCCCUUCCAUUCUUCUGGGUUCUCAUUCUAAUCCCAUUUUCCUUUUUAUUUUUCUUCAAAUUCUCCUCUUUAAUUUUAUUUCAUUUUUAAUUUAAUCCAAGGCCUUGUUAGUCAAAACGCAACGCAUAAGGACUAGGGAUAUUAUCCCAUUUAGUCCCUGAUAGUUUCAGCGCACCGCAAUUUGGUCCUUUGACUUUAUUUUAUUUUUAUUUUUACCCCAAAACCCCAUUUGACUUUCAAAUUAGUCCAUUUUUGUUUGUUUACUCACUCAUUCAUCUAUUU
Molecule: long non-coding RNA, 1636 nt
Filed under: Gossypium barbadense (sea-island cotton)
Lineage: Eukaryota; Viridiplantae; Streptophyta; Magnoliopsida; Malvales; Malvaceae
Description: long non-coding RNA (GBAR_LNC003798)
Source: RNAcentral